UGGGAGGUCGUCUAAUGGCAGGACAGGGGCCUUUGGAGCCUCUAGUGAAGGUUCGACCCCUUCCCUCCCAGCCA
RNAcentral lists this transfer RNA (74 nucleotides) under Deltaproteobacteria bacterium. RNAcentral describes it as "tRNA-Gln". It matches the Rfam family "tRNA". Rfam says of the family: Transfer RNA (tRNA) molecules are approximately 80 nucleotides in length. Their secondary structure includes four short double-helical elements and three loops (D, anti-codon, and T loops). The record is from RNAcentral. Lineage: Bacteria; Pseudomonadati; Myxococcota; Myxococcia.